Molecule: transfer RNA, 94 nt
Filed under: Desulfovibrionaceae bacterium
Lineage: Bacteria; Pseudomonadati; Thermodesulfobacteriota; Desulfovibrionia; Desulfovibrionales; Desulfovibrionaceae
Description: tRNA-Sec
Rfam family: Selenocysteine transfer RNA
Source: RNAcentral
GGAAGCGUAUCGUCACCGGUGUGGCGCCUGGACUUCAAAUCCAGUGGGCGUUCGAGAGGGCGCCGGGUGGUUCGACUCCACUACGCUUCCGCCA